CGGCAAUGAUGUCUGAAUUUCUUCACCUGAAUCAUCCCGUGUGGAUCAAAACAUACGAGCUUUUUAACCCUGAGCCAA
This 78-nucleotide small nucleolar RNA is filed under the name Hippocampus comes (tiger tail seahorse). The record is from RNAcentral. Lineage: Eukaryota; Metazoa; Chordata; Actinopteri; Syngnathiformes; Syngnathidae.